GACGAACGCUGGCGGCGUGCCUAAUACAUGCAAGUCGAACGAGAGCGACCGGUGCUUGCACUGGUCAAUCUAGUGGCGAACGGGCGAGUAACACGUGGGUAACCUGCCCAUCAGAGGGGGAUAACAUCCGGAAACGGAUGCUAAAACCGCAUAGGUCUUCGAACCGCAUGGUUUGAAGAGGAAAAGAGGCGCAAGCUUCUGCUGAUGGAUGGACCCGCGGUGCAUUAGCUAGUUGGUGAGGUAACGGCUCACCAAGGCCGUGAUGCAUAGCCGACCUGAGAGGGUGAUCGGCCACAUUGGGACUGAGACACGGCCCAAACUCCUACGGGAGGCAGCAGUAGGGAAUCUUCCGCAAUGGACGCAAGUCUGACGGAGCAACGCCGCGUGAGUGAAGAAGGUUUUCGGAUCGUAAAACUCUGUUGUUAGAGAAGAACAAGUGCUAGAGUAACUGUUAGCGCCUUGACGGUAUCUAACCAGAAAGCCACGGCUAACUACGUG
RNAcentral lists this ribosomal RNA (498 nucleotides) under uncultured bacterium. RNAcentral describes it as "partial 16S ribosomal RNA". It matches the Rfam family "Bacterial small subunit ribosomal RNA", at positions 28 to 507 of the family's 1533-position model. The record is from RNAcentral.